CAUAUAUAAUGUAGAUCGCAUUUAUAAAAUUAGAUUUUGAUUUGUAAUAUUAAUUAUUAAAAAUUAGGGUUGGUAUAUGUAAUAUUUAUAAAUCGAGUGCAGAUAAAUUUUUAUAAUUGAGAAGUGGGUUGGAAAGAGAAAUUAUUCCAUGAAAUGGGUGUAUACUGUAGUGCACUGAACUUAAGAAAAUUGCAAGAUUCUAGUGUGAGAAUAGUAUUUUGAACUAUUCUGGAUGUUUUGAGGGUUGUAGGUUGUGUGUUGACCGAUUUUUGGUGUCUUUUAGGUGCGAGAAAAGGUUUCCGAUAUCAAAAUCUGCAAACUUCAGAUUUUAGUGUUGAGUACCGGUACUAAAGUGAGCUACUAGAACCCUAUAGAGUGCUAAAAUGAGCAGCUCUCUGGUGUUGAGGAAUCGGGUUGUGAGUACCGAUACUGGGUUGAGUACUAGUACUGCAUCAGGUUGGUACCGGAACGUAGUGUUAAACCCGAAAUUCUAAUGUACAGGUUCUGCGGGACUGGGCGUUUGGUAUCGAAACAGCAGGUACCGGUACUCUAAUUCG
Molecule: long non-coding RNA, 557 nt
Filed under: Ananas comosus (pineapple)
Lineage: Eukaryota; Viridiplantae; Streptophyta; Magnoliopsida; Poales; Bromeliaceae
Description: long non-coding RNA (ACOM_LNC006981)
Source: RNAcentral